GACGAACGCUGGCGGCGUGCUUAACACAUGCCAGUCGAACGGAAAGGCCUCUUUCGGGGGGUACUCGAGUGGCGAACGGGUGAGUAACACGUGAGUAACCUGCCCUUGACUUUGGGAUAACUUCAGGAAACUGGGGCUAAUACCGGAUAGGAGCUCCUGCUGCAUGGUGGGGGUUGGAAAGUUUCGGCGGUUGGGGAUGGACUCGCGGCUUAUCAGCUUGUUGGUGGGGUAGUGGCUUACCAAGGCUUUGACGGGUAGCCGGCCUGAGAGGGUGACCGGCCACAUUGGGACUGAGAUACGGCCCAGACUCCUACGGAAGGCAGCAGUGGGGAAUAUUGCACAAUGGGUGGAAGCCUGAUGCAGCAACGCCGUGUGCGGGAUGACGGCCUUCGGGUUGUAAACCGCUUUCGCUCAUGACGAAGCUUUGUGUGACGGUAGUGGGUAAAGAAGCACCGGCUAACUACGUG
RNAcentral lists this ribosomal RNA (467 nucleotides) under uncultured bacterium. Its description in RNAcentral is "partial 16S ribosomal RNA". It matches the Rfam family "Bacterial small subunit ribosomal RNA", at positions 28 to 507 of the family's 1533-position model. The record is from RNAcentral.